GACGAACGCUGGCGGCGUGCUUAACACAUGCAAGUCGAACGAAAAGAGGGAAAGAGCUUGCUCUUUCCGGAAUUGAGUGGCAAACGGGUGAGUAACACGUAAACAACCUGCCUUCAGGAUGGGGACAACAGACGGAAACGACUGCUAAUACCGAAUAAGUUCCAAGGGCCGCAUGGCCCAUGGAAGAAAAGGUGGCCUCUACCUGUAAGCUAUCGCCUGAAGAGGGGUUUGCGUCUGAUUAGCUGGUUGGAGGGGUAACGGCCCACCAAGGCGACGAUCAGUAGCCGGUCUGAGAGGAUGAACGGCCACACUGGAACUGCGACACGGUCCAGACUCCUACGGGAGGCAGCAGUGGGGAAUCUUCCGCAAUGGGCGAAAGCCUGACGGAGCAACGCCGCGUGAGUGAUGACGGCCUUCGGGUUGUAAAACUCUGUGAUCCGGGACGAAAAGGCAGAGUGCGAAGAACAAACUGCAUUGACGGUACCGGAAAAGCAAGCCACGGCUAACUACGUG
RNAcentral lists this ribosomal RNA (513 nucleotides) under uncultured bacterium. RNAcentral's name for it is "partial 16S ribosomal RNA". It matches the Rfam family "Bacterial small subunit ribosomal RNA", at positions 28 to 507 of the family's 1533-position model. The record is from RNAcentral.